RNAcentral lists this transfer RNA (65 nucleotides) under Planctomycetota bacterium. RNAcentral describes it as "tRNA-OTHER". Lineage: Bacteria; Pseudomonadati; Planctomycetota. The record is from RNAcentral.
GGAGGUGACGAGCGGCCUGGUGGCGCUCCUGGGUCCCGGGUGGGUUCGAUUCCCAUUCACCUCCG